Long non-coding RNA from Anthonomus grandis grandis, 2303 nucleotides. RefSeq lists it as uncharacterized. The transcript is spliced from 3 exons. The record is from RefSeq and is a predicted model, not a curated record. Lineage: Eukaryota; Metazoa; Arthropoda; Insecta; Coleoptera; Curculionidae.
AAAAAAAAGUACAUUAAUUGAUAUAAAAUUUAGGAAAAAAUAUCAACGAAUCCCGUUAAUGUAAUUCUUAAAAUAAAACAUUAGGGCGCUGUGCUAUCUACGUGGUUCCAUCACGAACUUAAUAAAUAUACCUGGACUGCUAAUGCAUUUGGCCACGAUACCGAAAAUUUACCGCUGCCUGGUGGCCGCCAUUUUUAUAGUGGUUUAACUUGGUCACUCUGAACAUUUUCAGUGUUGCCAACAAAAAAUAUAUUAAAUAACGGUAAUGAAGUUGACGACGCUGACGUUUGACGUGUGAGUAUAGCGGAUUGCCUAGUUUUUGACGAUUUGUAAACGACGCUUGGGUAUAUUUCUGGAACAGGCGAUGUAGGGUGAAUUGCCUGGUUUUCGGCUACUUAACUGAAUUAUGAUAUUUAGGUUACUUUUAAAAAGAGCCUAUUUCAUUAUUUAUAUAUUAAAAUAUUUUACUCAAUAGCCUAUAGCAUCUUUAAUUUAAAUUUAUCAUUUCAAAAUAUAAGGAUCAUUUAGAGUAUUUUUGUAUAAAUAAAAUAUAAAAAAUGUGCCUUUUGCUAGUUCUCGGCCGCUUGACUUUUUUUUCGGCCAUUCUUUUGCCAGUUUUCGGCCGCUUUUCGGCCAUGCGAACAAAUGAUUAAGACGUAAGUAAGAAAUAAAAAUAAAAAACAAUAAAAAUAAAUAAAAUUUUAUUCGAGAUUUUAUUGCACAAAACAUCAUGUAGCAUAUCUGCUACAUAUAAAAUAUUGAAGAAUUCUAUUUUCAUUAAAUGUUUUAUGAUACACCUAAAUGCAUAGUGUAGCAUCGUUGAUUGAAUAUUUGGGAAGAUACGCAACCUUAUGGGCCAAAGCGUGACCGCAAAUAUGCGUGAAAAAUAGAUGGCGAUUCUCUCCAGUAUGCGCGAAAAUAAUUUCGUCCGUCGCUUCUCAUUAGUAAGCGGUCGAUCAUCCCUGAGUCGUGUGGGAGAGUUUUUGCACAGGUUCGUGUUUGCACUUUGCCGUAUUGCAAUUUGGUAGUUGUUAAAAAAUUGUCUUGGAUAUCAUAAUCACAAAUAGAUAGAUAUAUGUGAAUGUGUUUAGUUUGUGAGACAAUGGCUCCUUUAGGCAAAAUUAAUUAGUGUGCGUAUCGUGGGUGCAAUAAUGUAAGAAAAUGUAAAAACAAUGUUCUCAGUUUUUCAAAUUUCCGAUUUUAAAACCAGUGUUGCUUAACCAGUGGAUAGAAAAUAUAGGCAAUGGGGAAACAUAUGUUAUGGAUAAAAAUUUAUUAAAAAACAAAGUGGUUGGCCAGAAACAUUUUGACAAAAUAUAUAUUGCAGUAAGUAAUAAGCGAAAGAGACUUUUAAAAUUAGCUGUACCAAUUUCAUGGAAAGAACCGGCCUCUAGAAACACAAUUUCUUUGCCUGAUACCUCAUGUAAAGCUCAAAGCCUUGAGAGUUUAGAUGCAAAAGUUUCAUCAAUAAAUUGGGAAAAUGAUACAAUUGAUACAAAUGUAUUGCCUGGCACGCAUAUUCAAGUUGAUAUUUUGCAGCAUAGUCCAAAAAAUGGUAAGUGUUUGGUAAAUUUUUCCAAAUUUGCUUUUGUUUGCAAUAAAAUCUAAAUAAGAAAUGAAUUACUUGAAUUUUAAGGAGAUAUAUUUUCUUUAAAAAUUAGUAAAAUUGGUAACACUUGAUCUAUUCUGGUCUUCGAAUAGAUCAAGCAUAUGUCAACGAGUAAGCAUAUGUGAGAAUGAUCAACCAUAAACCAUAUGUUUCUAAAUAAAGGAAGUUAAAAUUUUCUUUUAAACUUUAGUGUUUUUAAAGAAUUUGAAUAUUCUUUAGCAAUUGUCCAAAAAUAAUUCUACACCUGUUAUUUUUAGUGAUAUAGAACAAAUUUAGCUUUAACUGGCUGGUUGUAAUAUAAUGAUACAACUUAAGAGAGAGGUAUAUAAUAUUUAAUAGGGAUGAUUUCAACUACUCACUAGAAAUUACCUCGUUGAAAAAGUAAUUAAAAGGGUUAUUUAAAACUGCAAGUAGCCAACAUGGCGUCGACAAGAAGAAACAAAGUUGAUUAUGACUCUCUUAAGAAGGAACGUCAUAUUUAAAAGUUAAAGAUGUUAACUUGUAAAUGAGAGAAAGUGUUUACAACAAUGUAUAAAUGAUUUUAUUUUAUAUUUUCAAAUAACGCCAGAAAAAAAUAAAAAACCAUUUUGGCAAAUUUCACCUUUUUCCUGAAUAUUAGGAAGUAUUUGGCAUUUUUCUAAUUUUUAGAUUGCAUUUAUUCAAUCAUUGCAUUUAUAUUGCGCAACUUUUGCCA